GACGAACGCUGGCGGCGUGCUUAACACAUGCAAGUCGAACGGUGAAGCGCCUUCCUUUUUGGUGGGUGGGGAGGAGUGGCGAAGGGGGGAGCAACAGGAGAGUAACCUGCCCCCUUCGUCAGGAUAACCGCAUGAAAGUGUGGCUAAUACGGGAUAUUCUGGGUCUGUCGCAUGAUGGGUCAGGGAAGGAUAUUGUUUCGGUGGGGGAUGGGCUCGCGGUCGAUCAGCUUGUUGGUGGGGUGAUGGCCUACCAAGGCGGUGACGGCUCGCCGGCCUGGGAGGGUGGCCGGCCACAGAGGGACAGCGGCCCCGUCGAGACUACUACGGGAGGCAGCAGUGGGGAGUAUUGAACAGUGGGCAGCAUGCUGAUGCAGCGACGCCGCGUGAGGGAUGGAGGCCUGCGCGUUGUGAACCUCUUUCGCGAGUGAAGCAGUCUUGCCUCGUUUGUGGGUGGGUUGACGGUAGCUGGAUAAGAAGCGCCGGCUAACUACGUG
RNAcentral lists this ribosomal RNA (494 nucleotides) under uncultured bacterium. RNAcentral's name for it is "partial 16S ribosomal RNA". It matches the Rfam family "Bacterial small subunit ribosomal RNA", at positions 28 to 507 of the family's 1533-position model. The record is from RNAcentral.